UUCCGCUUUAGCUCAGUUGGUAGUAGCGCAUGACUGUUAAUCAUGAUGUCGCAAGUUCGAGUCUUGCAAGCGGAGUC
Molecule: transfer RNA, 77 nt
Filed under: Bacilli bacterium
Lineage: Bacteria; Bacillati; Bacillota; Bacilli
Also listed under: 3 other names
Description: tRNA-Asn
Rfam family: tRNA
About the family: Transfer RNA (tRNA) molecules are approximately 80 nucleotides in length. Their secondary structure includes four short double-helical elements and three loops (D, anti-codon, and T loops).
Source: RNAcentral